This 491-nucleotide ribosomal RNA is filed under the name uncultured bacterium. RNAcentral's name for it is "partial 16S ribosomal RNA". It matches the Rfam family "Bacterial small subunit ribosomal RNA", at positions 29 to 506 of the family's 1533-position model. The record is from RNAcentral.
AGUGAACGCUGGCGGUAGGCCUAACACAUGCAAGUCGAACGGCAGCACAGUAAGAGCUUGCUCUUACGGGUGGCGAGUGGCGGACGGGUGAGGAAUACAUCGGAAUCUACUUUUUCGUGGGGGAUAACGUAAGGAAACUUACGCUAAUACCGCAUACGACCUACGGGUGAAAGCAGGGGAUCUUCGGACCUUGCGCGAUUGAAUGAGCCGAUGUCGGAUUAGCUAGUUGGCGGGGUAAAGGCCCACCAAGGCGACGAUCCGUAGCUGGUCCGAGAGGAUGAUCAGCCACACUGGAACUGAGACACGGUCCAGACUCCUACGGGAGGCAGCAGUGGGGAAUAUUGGACAAUGGGCGCAAGCCUGAUCCAGCCAUACCGCGUGGGUGAAGAAGGCCUUCGGGUUGUAAAGCCCUUUUGUUGGGAAAGAAAAGCAGCAGGUUAAUACCCCGCUGUUCUGACGGUACCCAAAGAAUAAGCACCGGCUAACUUCGU